This 396-nucleotide ribosomal RNA is filed under the name uncultured bacterium. Its description in RNAcentral is "partial 16S ribosomal RNA". It matches the Rfam family "Bacterial small subunit ribosomal RNA", at positions 362 to 776 of the family's 1533-position model. The record is from RNAcentral.
UAUUGCACAAUGGGCGAAAGCCUGAUGCAGCAACGCCGCGUGAGCGAUGAAGGCCUUCGGGUNGUAAAGCUCUGUCCUCAAGGAANNUCNNNANGGUACUUGAGGAGGAAGCCCCGGCUAACUACGUGCCNNNAGCCGCGGUAAUACGUAGGGGGCUAGCGUUAUCCGGAAUUACUGGGCGUAAAGGGUGCGUAGGUGGUUUCUUAAGUCAGAGGUGAAAGGCUACGGCUCAACCGUAGUAAGCCUUUGAAACUGGGAAACUUGAGUGCAGGAGAGGAGAGUGGAAUUCCUAGUGUAGCGGUGAAAUGCGUAGAUAUUAGGAGGAACACCAGUUGCGAAGGCGGCUCUCUGGACUGUAACUGACACUGAGGCACGAAAGCGUGGGGAGCAAACAGG